UUUGUGGGAGGGUUGUGAAUUGUGAUCUUAUCAAGUGGUGGUCGGCGUCGAGCAUGUCAUGUCACGAGUGAAGUUGGUUAUGAGAUGAGAGUACUUGCAAAUAUUAGGUUAGAAAUUGUUACAUGAAUCCUUCUUGAGUCUUGAGGACACACGCACACAUAUGGCGUGAAACCUUGAUCAUUGAUGAGGAGGAAAUGAUCAAGGAAUACUCAUCAAUUACAGAAGAGAAUCAAGACAAUUGAAGUCUUGAUUUAAUGAGCAAAUGAAUACAGUGGGAAGAAUAUGUCUGUUAGGAUCUCAGUUGCAGAUCUCAUAGUGGGCAUGGACCUUGGCCCAACCUAAAUCAAGGAACACUAUUCAUUGUUAGGCCGGUAGGUCAAUGCUUUUAAGGGAGGGGUAUUGGAGAACUUCUAAAGUGCCUCCUAGAUUUUCCAAAAUAUCUCUCAUGCACUUUAACUAGCGAACCUUAUAAAAAUAUUUUCAUAGGGGGUGAAGAAAUGGUGAGGAGGACAAAAAUAUUAGAUUUUAUGUAUUUUUUUUCAUAUUUUGCGCCCCCACUACUGCGAUUUUUCAGAUUUUUGCCCCCUUUAGUACUCACUACUUAAGUAGUAACGAGGUAUUUUUGGAUUUUUUGAAGAUGCGCGAGAAAAGUUGGGGGGCGUGAAAAGAAAUUCUCAAGUAUUAUUCGUUGUUAGGCCCAUUAUUGUAUUUUUUUUUUCAAAGUUGAAAUUAUUGUUGGCUUUUCUCCUAAGAGUGAUUCUUCAAGAUACAACCAUCACAAUGGAUGGUAAAAUAAAAUAAAAUCACAAGAGAUGAAUAUAUGUAGCAAAUGAGUAU
RNAcentral lists this long non-coding RNA (837 nucleotides) under Trifolium pratense (red clover). RNAcentral describes it as "long non-coding RNA (TPRA_LNC000015)". The record is from RNAcentral. Lineage: Eukaryota; Viridiplantae; Streptophyta; Magnoliopsida; Fabales; Fabaceae.